CUGAUAACACUAUCAGGCCACAAGAGGGCGAUGUGAAGCCAUACAGUGUAUGGCUUAACAUCGCCCUCUUGUGGCCUGAUGGUGUUACUG
This is a non-coding RNA of Xyrichtys novacula (pearly razorfish), 90 nucleotides long. The record is from the annotation of a GenBank genome assembly. Lineage: Eukaryota; Metazoa; Chordata; Actinopteri; Labriformes; Labridae.